GCGAAUGGCUCAUUAAAUCAGUUAUCGUUUAUUUGAUAAUACCUUACUACUUGGAUAACCGUGGUAAUUCUAGAGCUAAUACAUGCUGAAAAUCCCGACUUCGGAAGGGAUGUGUUUAUUAGAUAAAAAACCAAUGCCCUUCGGGGCUCUUUGGUGAUUCAUGAUAACUUUACGGAUCGCAUAGCCUUGCGCUGGCGACGGUUCAUUCAAAUUUCUGCCCUAUCAACUUUCGAUGGUAAGGUAUUGGCUUACCAUGGUUUCAACGGGUAACGGGGAAUUAGGGUUCGAUUCCGGAGAGGGAGCCUGAGAAACGGCUACCACAUCCAAGGAAGGCAGCAGGCGCGCAAAUUACCCAAUCCCGACACGGGGAGGUAGUGACAAUAAAUACUGAUACAGGGCUCUUUUGGGUCUUGUAAUUGGAAUGAGUACAAUUUAAACCUCUUAACGAGGAACAAUUGGAGGGCAAGUCUGGUGCCAGCAGCCGCGGUAAUUCCAGCUCCAAUAGCGUAUAUUAAAGUUGUUGCAGUUAAAAAGCUCGUAGUUGAAACUUGGGCCUGGCUGGCGGGUCCGCCUCACCGCGUGCACUCGUCCGGCCGGGCCUUCCUUCUGAAGAACCUCAUGCCCUUCACUGGGCGUGUUGGGGAAUCAGGACUUUUACUUUGAAAAAAUUAGAGUGUUCAAAGCAGGCCUUUGCUCGAAUACGUUAGCAUGGAAUAAUAAAAUAGGGCGUGCGUUUCUAUUUUGUUGGUUUCUAGAGACGCCGCAAUGAUUAACAGGAACAGUCGGGGGCAUCAGUAUUCAGUUGUCAGAGGUGAAAUUCUUGGAUUUACUGAAGACUAACUACUGCGAAAGCAUUUGCCAAGGAUGUUUUCAUUAAUCAGUGAACGAAAGUUAGGGGAUCGAAGACGAUCAGAUACCGUCGUAGUCUUAACCGUAAACUAUGCCGACUAGGGAUCGGGCGAUGUUCUUUUUCUGACUCGCUCGGCACCUUACGAGAAAUCA
This 1002-nucleotide ribosomal RNA is filed under the name Curvularia pseudobrachyspora. Its description in RNAcentral is "SSU rRNA". It matches the Rfam family "Eukaryotic small subunit ribosomal RNA", at positions 89 to 1100 of the family's 1831-position model. The record is from RNAcentral. Lineage: Eukaryota; Fungi; Ascomycota; Dothideomycetes; Pleosporales; Pleosporaceae.